This 497-nucleotide ribosomal RNA is filed under the name uncultured bacterium. RNAcentral's name for it is "partial 16S ribosomal RNA". It matches the Rfam family "Bacterial small subunit ribosomal RNA", at positions 28 to 507 of the family's 1533-position model. The record is from RNAcentral.
GAUGAACGCUGGCGGCGUGCCUAAUACAUGCAAGUCGAGCGAACGGACGAGAAGCUUGCUUCUCUGAUGUUAGCGGCGGACGGGUGAGUAACACGUGGAUAACCUACCUAUAAGACUGGGAUAACUUCGGGAAACCGGAGCUAAUACCGGAUAAUAUUUUGAACCGCAUGGUUCAAAAGUGAAAGACGGUCUUGCUGUCACUUAUAGAUGGAUCUGCGCUGCAUUAGCUAGUUGGUAAGGUAACGGCCUACCAAGGCAACGAUGCAUAGCCGACCUGAGAGGGUGAUCGGCCACACUGGAACUGAGACACGGUCCAGACUCCUACGGGAGGCAGCAGUAGGGAAUCUUCCGCAAUGGGCGAAAGCCUGACGGAGCAACGCCGCGUGAGUGAUGAAGGUCUUCGGAUCGUAAAACUCUGUUAUUAGGGAAGAACAUAUGUGUAAGUAACUGUGCACAUCUUGACGGUACCUAAUCAGAAAGCCACGGCUAACUACGUG